AAAUAAAAAAAUAAAGAAUAAUUAGUAAGAUGAAAGAGUGCAACAUCCUCUCAAAUAGUGCAACAAGCUCUUCAAAAUAGUGCAAUAUCUGUAUAAGUAGUGCAACAUACGCAUUGUUAAUACACAUUUUACAUAAUUUUUACACUAAAUUACAUACAGUUUAAUAUAUUACGCGAAAAUAAUAUGCAACAUAUAAUAUAAUAAACUGUAUGUAAUUAAUUUAGUGUAAAAAUCAUACAAAAUGUGUAUUAAUAAUGCAUAUGUUGCACUAUUUAUAUAGAUAUUGCACUAUUUUGAAGAGCUUGUUACACUAUUUGAUAGGAUGUUGCACUCUUUCAUCUUAUUAAUUAUUCUUUAUUCUUUUUAUUUUUUCUUGAAUGAGGCUUCUCGUUUCACGAGAAAGGUACAUGCAUGUAAUUAUGACUUAGCAGUUGUCAUUUUCAAGAAGUUUUACACUUCAUUUAAUAUGCAAUGAAAUUUAAUUUUUAAAAAGAAAGAGUGCAACACACAUCUAAAUGGUGCAACAUCCUCUCAUAAUAGUACAACAUUUACACAAAUGGUGUAAAUAUAUGUAUAAAUAGUGUAAAAUAUGCACCGUUUGUACAUAUAUUGUAUAAUUUUUAUAAUAUAUUGUAAUAUAUUAUAUUAUUUUCGCAUAAUAUACUAAACUGUACGUAACUUAGUGUAAAAAUCAUACAAAAUGUGUAUUAACAGUGCAUAUGUUGCACUAAUUAUACAGAUAUUGCACUAUUUUGAAGAGAUUGUUGCACUAUUUGAGAGGAUAUUGCACUCUUUCAUCUUAUUAAUUAAUCUUUAUUUUUUUUUAUUUUCUCUUGAAUGAGGUUUCUCGUUUCACGAGAAAGAUACAUGUAUGUAAUUAUGGCUUAGCAGUUGUCAUUUCCAAGAAGUUUGACACUUUAUUUAAUAUGCAAUGAAAUUUAAUUUUUAAAAAGAAAGAGUGCAAUAUACAUCUAAAUAGUGCAACAUUCUCUCAUAAUAGUGCAACAUUUAUAGAAAUGGUGUAAAUAUAUGUAUAAAUAGUGUAAAAUAUGCACCGUUUGUACAUAUAUUGUAUAAUUUUUAAAAUAUAUUGUAAUAUAUUAUAUUAUUUUUAUGUAAUAUACUAAACUGUACGUAACUUAGUGUAAAAAUCAUACAAAAUAUGUAUUAAGAAUGCAUAUGUUGCACUACUUAUACAGAUAUUGCACUAUUUUGAAAAAAUUGUUGCAUUAUUUGAGAGAAUAUUGCACUCUUUCAUCUUAUUAAUUAAUAUUUAUUUUUUUUAUUUUUUCUUGAAUGAGGUUUCUUGUUUUACAAGAAAGAUACAUGCAUAUAAUUAUGGCUUAGCAGUUGUCAUUUCCAAGAAGUUUUAUACAUAAUGACUUUGUAGUUGUAUUUUUCUAGACAUUUAAAGUUUAUAACUUUUAUGAAUUUUGAAAGAGGGGUAGUUUGGUCAUCCUUCUGAAAAUUCGGCUCGAAUCUGUAAAAACUAAAAAGGUGGCCCACUUUUACAAAAGCGCAAAAUUAGUGGAUUUUUUAUGCAAAUUGG
This 1549-nucleotide long non-coding RNA is filed under the name Ananas comosus (pineapple). RNAcentral describes it as "long non-coding RNA (ACOM_LNC015586)". The record is from RNAcentral. Lineage: Eukaryota; Viridiplantae; Streptophyta; Magnoliopsida; Poales; Bromeliaceae.